GUGCUUUCUGAGACAGCCAAUGUGCAGGGACUGUUUUUCCAAACUACUAGACAUAAGCCCCACUUUAAACCUGCAUCUGUCUGGGCAAUAAGGAUAUAAAACAACUUCUAACUGCCUGGAAUUGGGAAGAAGGUCACCCAACAGGGAUAUUAUUGCAAAGUUGUCCAUUGUGAGAGUUUUAGACCUUCCUCUGAAGAAUCUGCUACUGGCCAAUUUUGGAGACGGAUUAGUGCAUUAAAUGGACCACUGGUCUGAUCUGGUAUUGCCAUUCUUCUGUUCCAAGUGGAAGUUGGGAGCAGAGCACUCAUUGCAUGAGGCCCUGAAUGCUAUGUAGCAGCAGUAAAAUGUCAGCUCUCCUUCAGAAACACCAGAAGCAUUCAUAGUUUAAAAGUGACUGUGUGCUAGAAUGGCAGCUAAGAAGAAUGAAGUAUUAUUAUUAUUAUUGAUAAACUACAGAACAGGUACAGGGCAGCCCUACUUUCU
Molecule: long non-coding RNA, 483 nt
Organism: Chrysemys picta bellii (western painted turtle)
Lineage: Eukaryota; Metazoa; Chordata; Testudines; Emydidae
Source: RefSeq, a predicted model, not a curated record